Molecule: small nucleolar RNA, 127 nt
Filed under: Mytilus galloprovincialis (Mediterranean mussel)
Lineage: Eukaryota; Metazoa; Mollusca; Bivalvia; Mytilida; Mytilidae
Source: RNAcentral
UUUUAAUGAUGACACAAGAUGACGAGGCUGAUUUAUACCAGGAUAUACAUCAAGAAGUAGUUUUUACUUUCUUUGUACUUCUAUGGUAUUGGCAUUGAUGUAACAUCGAGGCAUUUGUCUGAAAAAA